AUUAGGGGAAAGGGUUUUGAAGAAAAGAAUACACAGACUGGGAAAAAAAGCCCAGAUGAAAGUCCAGAGGAGAGUGAGUGACAAGAAAGGAAGCUUGAGAGCGGCUGACAGGUGGGCUGAGCGGUGGUGCUGACGGCCGCGCGUGUGGCGGCGGGGGGCCUCCCACCCACCAAGGGCAGCACAGGCCUCGGCGGAGACGCCUCACAAGCGUGGGCAGCGGAGGAGGGAGCGGGGUGUGAGCCCCGCGCCAGGCAGCUGCGACAGGAGGCAGGCGGCGGGCGCGCGGGCUCCCAGCCAGCCUGCUUCCCAUUGGCCCUCGGGAAGCGCUCGGAGCUGUUCUUCUCUUCCUGGACGCAGCGGCUGUCCACCGGUUCCCGCGAGUCAGUUUCGAGAAAUUCCUUGCCUACCUAGCUGGGAGAGCUAGGUUGGGCUCCGGCGGCCCUCUAGAGCGCUCUUCCGGCUGGAGACUCAGGGACGAGACCCGGGGAUGAGCGGCGGAAGGCGGCGCCGGCACUGACUGGACUCCCGGCCAAGGCUACCCGCCACCGGCUGGGGAUGAGCAGGCUGGGUCAGAUGCCUUAGCCGGGUGCACGCGCCGGGCGGAGCGCGCAGGUCGGACUGUGCUCUCUCGGCGGUCCGCCCUGCGUUCGUGCCUGGCCAGUCCCAGGAUGGGCACUGGAGCCCCCGGGGCCGCGCCCGCUAGAGCCCGGCGUCCCUUCCACGUCCUGAGCUCAUGGACGGCGACUCCCGGCUGGCAGCGGCGCGCCCCCGGGCUGUGAAUGCGACUCGCUCAUCGUCCGCGCUCCCCGCCCGCCCGCCCGCCGGGACGUGGUAGGGGAUGCCUAGCUCCUCUGCGAUGGCAGUUGGCGCGCUCUCCAGUUCCCUCUUGGUCACCUGCUGCCUGAUGGUGGCUCUGUGCAGUCCGAGCAUCCCGCUGGAGAAGCUGGCCCAAGCUCCUGAGCAACCCGGCCAGGAGAAACGCGAGCACGCGUCUCGGGACAGCCCCGGGCGGGUGAGCGAGCUCGGGCGCGCCGCGAGGGACGAGGGCAGCAGUGCCCGGGACUGGAAGAGUAAGGGCAGCCGCGCGCUCGCGAGCCGGGAGGCGUGGAGCAAGCAGAAGCAGGCCUGGACUGCCCAGGGCGGGAGUGUCAAGGCCGCGGACUGGCAGGUCCGACCUCGGGGGGACACCCCGCAGGAAGAGUCCCCGGCCGCCGCCCAGGAAGCGAUCAGCCUAGAACUCGUGCCCACACCAGAGCUGCCUGAGGAAUACGCUUACCCGGACUACCGCGGCAAGGGCUGCGUGGAUGAGAGUGGCUUCGUGUAUGCGAUCGGGGAGAAGUUUGCCCCAGGUCCCUCAGCCUGCCCGUGUCUGUGUACGGAGGAGGGGCCCCUGUGCGCACAGCCAGAGUGCCCGCGGCUUCACCCGCGCUGCAUCCACGUCGACACUAGCCAGUGCUGUCCGCAGUGCAAGGAGAGGAAGAACUACUGCGAGUUCCGGGGCAAGACCUACCAGACUUUGGAGGAGUUCGUGGUGUCUCCGUGUGAGCGGUGCCGCUGUGAAGCCAAUGGUGAAGUGCUGUGCACAGUGUCGGCGUGUCCCCAGACGGAAUGUGUGGACCCCGUGUACGAGCCUGAUCAGUGCUGCCCCAUCUGCAAAAACGGCCCAAACUGCUUUGCAGAAACUGCUGUCAUCCCAGCUGGUAGAGAAGUGAAGACGGAUGAAUGCACCAUAUGUCACUGUACUUAUGAGGAGGGUACGUGGAGAAUUGAACGGCAAGCCAUGUGCACAAGACAUGAAUGCAGGCAAAUGUAGACUUCACAAUACAAAACUCUCAUGUUUUUCUAGAAUAUUUUACUAAUGUUGACAUUCUAGAUGACUCUGAGAAAUGUCAAUCAAAAAGAGAAGACUUUGGAUAAGGAGUCAAGGGAAAUGGUUGGCACUUUCCUUUUCUUGGUAACAAUUACAGCAAGAGACAGAAAUGGAUGUAUUUCAAAACAUCAAUAAGAACUUUGGACAUAAACUCCCUCUCUAAAUAAAUGUGCUAUUUUCACAAUUUCUAGCACAUUUCACACACUCAGGAUAUAGACCACAACCUCCCACCGAUCAAAUCCCUCACUGCUGUAAUGGUUGAGGACGGAUGUGACAAUCAAUUGCCAGUUCUGAUCAAAGUCAGGACAAACUGCUUUGAUGUAAAAGUUCUAACACUGGAGAAAGCUUCUAAUGAAAACAUGAUGAUACUCAAAUAAAUGCAAUCAAGUUUACAGCUUUGGUAUUUCCUUGUUGAUACCAUUUUUAAAUAAAAUGUCCUAGCCUAGGCUUUGUUUUAGGGUGUUGAGUAUUUCUGCAUCUCUCCGUGUUUCUGUGUGCUAUGACUGAGUACUGCAGUUGGCUUCUGUGGACCUGUUGUUAAAUCAGUGAUCUGAAUUGUACACACAGGAACACAGUAGCUCCAAGUGUGCUGGAAGAGGGUCUAAAAGUGAUGACUGUUGAUAUUUCACCAUAGUGUCAGACUUCACUCUCAUUUGUAAAGCGUUUACUGUUUCUGCUUUAACACACACACACACACACACACACACACACACACACACACACACACAAAACUAGGUAGAAAAAAAAACCCUAAUUUAAAUGCCUAAUUGUUAGCUGAAUCAGUUCCAUCAAUUCUAAGUGAUACUGACAAUCAGAGUAAGAAUAUUCACUCAAAGAUUCAGUAACACGAACACUUCUAUGACAAUGUGCUCUUAGUUCUGGGCCUAGUCACAGUUUAUGAUACAUGAAAUGCAUACCUGGGAUUCUAUAACAAGGUCAUAAACCCAUAAUACAGACACAACGAUAGCAAAUACAAUCAAUGAAUAAACCUGAAGUCAUUUAUUAAAUUAUUGUUGUGGUCUGUUAACUAAAAAUAAUUCUAAAUACAUCCCACUUUAGUUAGAAUUCAAUUCUCAGAAAGUAGAAAUAUUUCCCAAUUUUAUUAAUAUUUAAAAAUAUUUUAUUUGCUCACUAACAUUUACUAUUUUUCUUCAAUUUCUGGAGUUUACAUUUCAAUUUGUUUCUAGAUACAUUUAUGAAAAUGUUCAUUUCCCUAUUCUUUAUCAUUUUACAUUCUAAACUAAAUGCAAUUCUAUUUUAUUUUUAUUUCUCUAUCGGGUUAUUUAUUAUCUUAUUUAUACUCCCAAUAUCACAAAAGUAGCUAGUACCAUCUCCACUCAGGACAUUCAGAAAGUUGAGAAGAUGCCUAAUGAUUCAAUCUAGUGAAUGAAUGGGCAAGAAUUCAAGUUUGCUUUAUGCCAGAACCUGUGACACAAAGUCUUGUCAUUCAUGCUUAGACAAAUUACCUCUAGAAAUGAGACACCAUAUCCAAGCUGCUCUUUCACCUAUCCCCAAGGAGCGUAGAGAAUGAAUGGGCAGCCCCAUGCUCUCCUAAUUCAGCUGUGCAGUCCUGACACUUCCCAGUUAAGAGUCGCUCCUCACAAAGGUGUUAAUGGCCUCGUUUUCUAUCUGCCACAUCUUUUAAUUUCUGAUCAAACUGUUUCUAAAUGUCUUGUUAAAAUAGGUUUUCAAACAUUAGUAGAUUUUUAUGGUUUUGUGUUGUACUGAGUUUAUAAAAUAUGGCCAAAUUUUAUAACCCUUUUGCAAUGGUGACUUAUUUUUCCUGCUGUGGCAAGAUAGCUGACAUAGACCAUGUAAAGGAUGGAAUAUUUGUUUUAGCAUAUGGCUUUACAUGUUUUCUCUCAUGGUUGCUUUGCUCCAUGUGGCUCAGAAGGUGGUUGGGAAGGUUGUCAUCUCCUGGCAGUGAAAAGCAAAGAAAGGAAAUGACUAGAAACAAGGUGUGAUGGCCACAGGCAUGCCUCCAGGAACCUACUGCUUCCUUCAAGCCUCUCAAAGUUGCCAAUGGCUUCCAAAGCACUUCAUUCAACACAUAAGCUUAUGUCAGGCAAUAGUCAACAUGUAAGCCUGUGUGGGACACUCCAUUUUCUAAUCUUAAUGAACCAGUAUUAGCAUUUUAGAGCUAAUGAAGAAAACUAUCACUUGUUAGCAGUCACUCUGUGGCAAAUACUUCAUUUUCAAACUUUAAAUUCUAGCAUCUGCUGUUAUCACUUCUGCUGUGGGAAAAUCUCACACUGCAGGUGCAUUGUGCAAGUCUCAGUGUUAUCGCUGAGGUCAAAUCCAUCUGAAAGCCCAGAAAACCCACUUUCCUUAGGAGUCCUGGUCAAGGAAGCAAGGGGCAGUGCAGCCUCCAUGCAGCUUUCCCCCUGGGGAGCAGCUGCUAGCCUUAGUCAGUCCUUCAUUUCAUUCCACAUGUAAUAAGUGCACUUUGGGUUCUGAAUCCAGCUCAGGCCAGGGUGAGUAAGCAGUGUAUAUUCUUUGGCUCCUUAGACCAUUUACUCCAGCAUACUCCCUAAAGGCCUUAAAUCAAUGAAAAUAAGUGAUCAUGCCACAUGUCAUUCUUAACUUUUGCAUUCAGGUCAGUACCUUACAUCAGUAUCAUUUAAAAACAAUGCUUUAGCUACCUUUUUAUAUACAGUAGACAGUGGUAAAAUUGGAAGUUAACAUUAUAUAGUAGCAAUGGCUUAUGAAAAUUAAGUGCCUCUUCAAUAUGUCUUGCUUGCUUUGUUUUUACUCAAUCCUAUGAAACUUUAGAUUAAUACAAACUCAUUGCAAAGGCAUCCUGUCCAUGUUACACACUGACAGGUUUAUAAUUUUAAGUCUGUAAGUCAUAAAAAAACAACAAUAAAAAUUCUUCCCAAUCAAAAUAAUGACAGUGACUGUGGAGGUAACUUGAUUGGGAUGGACCCUCCAGUACCAGGGUCCAUGUCCAUCAGCCAUGGCCACAUGUCUUUUUUAUUUCUGGCCCAGGAAUGUAAUCCUGCUUACAAUAAGUAUGGCUUCAAUAAAAGUUGUUGAUAGAAAAAUACUAUUUUUAUGUAUUUUUUUGUAGGCUACAUGUUAAUUAUAGCCAACUGAUACAUUAAAAAUUCACACAUGUGUAUAUAACCCUUAAAUCAGAAACAGAAAAGGAUUUCUAUUUAAGCCAAGACUAAAUGUCUUUAAAAUAUACAAAGUGGGCUUUUUUUUUGUACACUAAAGAAUAUAACUACAGUUGAAAGAACAAAUCACAUUAUAAAGAGGAAAACAAGUGGUUACUUUUGGGGAAUGGAGAUGUUAAAUUUUAGAUCAGUACAGAUAAGUGGUGCAUUAAAAUCCUUUAAACCAUUGGCAAGAAUCAUUUGUGAAAUUCAAUAAUAUUAAUACAUACUGAGCCCCUUUGGGAAACAAACAAAAGUCAGUUUGGUGGGAUGGGGUCAGAACUCAGCCAACAGACUAGAAGGCGUCACGAGGUUUUCUCAUCCUUGGCCUUGGUCUUACUGCACAUUUACAGAAUCAGUGCCUCCAGAAACAAGGCCGGGUCACUGUUACAGCAUCUGGACCAUGAAGAGUCUUCAUAAUGUUUGUUGUCUCCUUGACUGGGUGUCUGAGUCUAGUCUAUCACUCAGCUUACGCAGUGCACAUUACCUACCUCUUUGUAACUCAGUGUUCAUCUGCAAAAUGGGAUGAGAGCACCAGCUCCUGAGAUGAUUAAAUGAAUGAGUAUUUCAAACAUAGAAUGCGAUAGAUGACAUUUAUAAAGCACAAGUUAUACAUUAGCAUUCAUUAGCUAGAUAAUUGGAAAUUUGAAGAGACUGAGAUUUAAAAGUUUUAGAGAUUCUAAUUCAGUGAGUAUGAUUUACAUAAUAUCCUAUUUUUUAUCCAUUCAUGUGUUGUGUCUGCCUGGAAAAUGUUUUUGUAUUACUAUAACUUUACAUGGAGCUAAAUUUAUACCAUCAGGCCUACUUUGUAUAUGUUGUUGGAUGAGUACAUAUGUGAGAAACUGAUUUACAAAAUAAAUUAUUUAUCAAAUGCAUUUCGCACUUCCAGGUAGAGUCACUUUUAAAAUGUUUCUCAGUCUGUUAAAACACUUUAAGUGAGGUCAAUAAAAAGUACUAUUAAAAUA
RNA transcript from Peromyscus maniculatus bairdii (prairie deer mouse), 5993 nucleotides. It is a transcript of the gene named von Willebrand factor C domain containing 2, with no coding region annotated. The record is from RefSeq and is a predicted model, not a curated record. Lineage: Eukaryota; Metazoa; Chordata; Mammalia; Rodentia; Cricetidae.